CCUACGGGAGGCAGCAGUGGGGAAUUUUGCGCAAUGCUCGAAAGAGUGACGCAGCGACGCCGCGUGAAUGACGAAGGCCUUCGGGUCGUAAAGUUCUUUCGACAGGGAAGAAAAUGCCUAUAAGUAACUGUGUAUGUAUUGACGGUAUCUGUAUAAGCAGCCACGGCUAACUCCGUGCCAGCAGCCGCGGUAAUACGGAGGGGGCGAGCGUUGUUCGGAGUGACUGGGCGUAAAGAGAACGUAGGCGGUGUUGUAAGUCAUUAGUGAAAGACUAGGGCUAAACGGGAGUAAGGCUAGGGAUACUAUAAGACUAGAGUACCAAAGAGGAGUGUAGAAUUCCUGGUGUAGCGGUGAAAUGCGUAGAUAUCAGGAAGAACACCGUUAGCGAAGGCGGCUAUCUGGCUGGAAACUGACGCUGAGGUGCGAAAGCGUGGGUAGCAAACAGGAUUAGAUACCCUAGUAGUC
RNAcentral lists this ribosomal RNA (465 nucleotides) under uncultured bacterium. RNAcentral's name for it is "partial 16S ribosomal RNA". It matches the Rfam family "Bacterial small subunit ribosomal RNA", at positions 338 to 795 of the family's 1533-position model. The record is from RNAcentral.